Molecule: ribosomal RNA, 468 nt
Filed under: uncultured bacterium
Lineage: Bacteria
Description: partial 16S ribosomal RNA
Rfam family: Bacterial small subunit ribosomal RNA
Source: RNAcentral
GACGAACGCUGGCGGCGUGCUUAACACAUGCAAGUCGAACGGAAAGGCCCUGCUUUUGUGGGGUGCUCGAGUGGCGAACGGGUGAGUAACACGUGAGUAACCUGCCCUUGACUUUGGGAUAACUUCAGGAAACUGGGGCUAAUACCGGAUAGGAGCUCCUGCUGCAUGGUGGGGGUUGGAAAGUUUCGGCGGUUGGGGAUGGACUCGCGGCUUAUCAGCUUGUUGGUGUGGUAGUGGCUUACCAAGGCUUUGACGGGUAGCCGGCCUGAGAGGGUGACCGGCCACAUUGGGACUGAGAUACGGCCCAGGCUCCUACGGGAGGCAGCAGUGGGGAAUAUUGCACAAUGGGCGGAAGCCUGAUGCAGCAACGCCGCGUGCGGGAUGACGGCCUUCGGGUUGUAAACCGCUUUCGCCUGUGACGAAGCGUGAGUGACGGUAAUGGGUAAAGAAGCACCGGCUAACUACGUG